AUGGCGACGGAGGUCACCCUCCGCCGCUUCGACCUCUCGGACGUCGACGCCAUGAUGGCAUGGGCGUCCGACCCCGAGGUCGCCGCCUUCUGCCGCUGGGAGCCCUAUGCGUCCACGGAGACGGAAGCCCUGCUCGCCCACAUCCGGGACACCGCGCUCUCGCACCAGUGGUACCGCGCCAUCUGCCUCGCCGGCGACGCCCGCCCCGUCGGCUCGGUGUCCCUGGAGCCCACGGCUGACCCGUGCCGCGGGGAGCUCGGCUACGUGGUGGCCCGCGCGCACUGGGGCAGGGGCGUGGCUACGGCCGCCGUGAGGGCCGCGCUCGCCGCGGUGUUCCGCGAGGUGGAGGGGCUGGUGCGCGUGGAGGCGCUGGUGGACGUGGACAACGCGGCGUCGCAGCGCGUGGCGGAGAAGGCCGGGUUCCGGCGCGAGGGCGUCCUGCGGCGCCACUACUGGCACAAGGGCCGCGUCAGGGAUCUCGCCAUCUACGGCUUCGUCUCCGGCGACCCCUUGCCCCCAUCACACGAGGAUGAGGGUCGGGAAUCGAUGGAGCAAGAAGCGGCAGCCCGGACGCCGGAGCGCGCGGAUGAGGUGACCCUCCGGCCGUUCGACCUCGCCGACGCCGACGCCGAAGCCAUGACGGCGUGGGCGGAACACCCCGUACUAGUACCACCUACGGCCGCCAUGGCGUCGGGGGUCUACUUCUCCCCGCCCCGCGACGCCCUGCUCGCGUUCCUCCGGGGCACCGACCCUCCGCACACCUGGAUCCGCGCCGUCUGCCUCGGCGGCGCCAUCGUGGGCGCGGUGACCGUGUCGCGCACAGAAGAUCGGUGCCGCGCGGAGGUCGGGACCGCGCUGGCGCGCGCGCACCGGGGCAGGGGCGCGGCCGCGGCGGCCCUGAGGCUCGCGGCGACCGCGGCGUUGGGGGACCUGGAGGGCGUGGAGCGCGUGGAGGCGCUGGUGGACGCAGACGACGCCGCGUCCCGGCGCGCGGUGGAGGACGCCGGGUUCCGCCGCGAGGCCGUGAUGCGGAGCCACCGCGACGCCAGGGACGUGGUCGUCUACAGCCUCAUGUCCACCGACGACGACCCACUCAUCGACUUACCCAGGUCAUGA
This 1116-nucleotide ribosomal RNA is filed under the name Triticum aestivum (bread wheat). RNAcentral's name for it is "partial small subunit ribosomal RNA". Lineage: Eukaryota; Viridiplantae; Streptophyta; Magnoliopsida; Poales; Poaceae. The record is from RNAcentral.